This 29-nucleotide non-coding RNA is filed under the name Cricetulus griseus (Chinese hamster). Lineage: Eukaryota; Metazoa; Chordata; Mammalia; Rodentia; Cricetidae. The record is from RNAcentral.
GAUGAAAUUUGCAUAGGUUUCUGUGGAAU